AUAAGGUCACAGGGCCUUGGUGCACGGGAAACCGGUGGAAAACCGGUGCGGCCCUCGCCACUGUGAUCGGGAAGUCCGGCUCCAUCCCUUCGGGGAGCCACUGGGACGGCGUGGGAGACCACGGCGCCCGGGAAGGCGGAGCCGGGCGGUACGACCCGUCAGCCAGGAGACCGGCCGGGGCGUGUUGUCCAUC
RNAcentral lists this non-coding RNA (193 nucleotides) under Streptomyces albus. The record is from RNAcentral. Lineage: Bacteria; Bacillati; Actinomycetota; Actinomycetes; Kitasatosporales; Streptomycetaceae.